This 253-nucleotide ribosomal RNA is filed under the name uncultured bacterium. RNAcentral describes it as "partial 16S ribosomal RNA". It matches the Rfam family "Bacterial small subunit ribosomal RNA", at positions 524 to 776 of the family's 1533-position model. The record is from RNAcentral.
UACGUAGGGUCCGAGCGUUGUCCGGAAUUAUUGGGCGUAAAGGGCUCGUAGGCGGUUUGUCGCGUCGGGAGUGAAAACACGGGGCUUAACCCCGUGCCUGCUUCCGAUACGGGCAGACUAGAGGUAUGCAGGGGAGAACGGAAUUCCUGGUGUAGCGGUGAAAUGCGCAGAUAUCAGGAGGAACACCGGUGGCGAAGGCGGAUCUCUGGGCCUUGCCUGACGCUGAGGCGCGAAAGCUAGGGGAGCGAACAGG